CGGGUGGCAGCAGUAGGGAAUCUUGCGCAAUGGGCGAAAGCCUGACGCAGCGACACCGCGUGGAGGAUGAAGGUUUUCGAAUCGUAAACUCCUGUCAAUAGAGGAAGAAGGUAUUAUAGGUGAAUAGCUUAUAAUAUUGACGGUACUCUGUAAGGAAGCCCCGGCUAACUACGUGCCAGCAGCCGCGGUAAUACGUAGGGGGCAAGCGUUUUCCGGAUUUAUUGGGCGUAAAGCGCACGCAGGUGGCUUUUCAAGUCGGGUGUGAAAUCUCUUAGAAAAACUAAGAAAUUGCAUCCGAAACUGGAUUGCUUGAGGUCGGGAGAGGAGAGUGGAAUUCUCGGUGUAGCGGUGAAAUGCGCAGAUAUCGAGAAGAACACCAUUAGCGAAGGCGGCUCUCUGGAACGAUACUGACACUAAGGUGCGAAAGCUAGGGUAGCAAACAGGAUUAGAUACCCGUGUAGUC
Molecule: ribosomal RNA, 463 nt
Filed under: uncultured Acidobacteriota bacterium
Lineage: Bacteria; Pseudomonadati; Acidobacteriota
Description: bacterial SSU rRNA
Rfam family: Bacterial small subunit ribosomal RNA
Source: RNAcentral